RNAcentral lists this unclassified non-coding RNA (247 nucleotides) under Hevea brasiliensis (rubber tree). Lineage: Eukaryota; Viridiplantae; Streptophyta; Magnoliopsida; Malpighiales; Euphorbiaceae. The record is from RNAcentral.
GUCAGCGACAAGGAAUGUUCUUGGUGCUCUUCCUCAUGAUAUUGGAAUGGAUGAUCCAUGGUUUGAAGUAAAUUACUAUUGCCUGUAUAACACAGAUAGGUGGAAAGAUUUGAACCCAAAAUUUGUUCUUCAAGUUUACAGGGAUUUUGUUGCGACAGGUGACAAAAAGUUUGCCGAAGCUGUUUGGCCGUCUGUGUAUAUGGCAAUAGCUUUCAUGGACCAAUUUGAUAAGGAUGGGGAUGGGAUG